GUCCAGACUCCUACGGGAGGCAGCAGUGAGGAAUAUUGGUCAAUGGGCGGGAGCCUGAACCAGCCAAGUCGCGUGAGGGAUGACGGUCCUACGGAUUGUAAACCUCUUUUGCCGGGGAGCAAGCGUGCGUUCGUGAACGCGCGUCGAGAGUACCCGGAGAAAAAGCAUCGGCUAACUCCGUGCCAGCAGCCGCGGUAAUACGGAGGAUGCGAGCGUUAUCCGGAUUUAUUGGGUUUAAAGGGUGCGCAGGCGGAGUAUAAAGUCGGCGGUAAAAUUGAGAGGCUCAACCUCUUCGAGCCGUUGAAACUGGUUUUCUUGAGUGAGCGAGAAGUAUGCGGAAUGCGUGGUGUAGCGGUGAAAUGCAUAGAUAUCACGCAGAACCCCGAUUGCGAAGGCAGCUUACUAAACUGUGACUGACAUUGAUGCUCGAAAGUGUGGGUAUCAAACAGGAUUAGAUACCCUUGUAU
This 467-nucleotide ribosomal RNA is filed under the name uncultured bacterium. RNAcentral's name for it is "bacterial SSU rRNA". It matches the Rfam family "Bacterial small subunit ribosomal RNA", at positions 329 to 793 of the family's 1533-position model. The record is from RNAcentral.